ACUCAAAGGAAUAGACGGGGGCCCGCACAAGCGGUGGAGCAUGUGGUUCAAUUCGACGCAACGCGAAGAACCUUACCUGGGCUCGAACGGCUGCUGAAAGUUCCUGGAAACAGGGAUUCUCCCGCAAGGGACAGUAGUCGAGGUGCUGCAUGGCUGUCGUCAGCUCGUGUCGUGAGAUGUUGGGUUAAGUCCCGCAACGAGCGCAACCCUUGUCCUGUGUUGCUAAUCCGCAAGGAUGCACUCUCAGGAGACCGCCAGCGAUAAGUUGGAGGAAGGUGGGGAUGACGUCAAGUCAUCAUGGCCUUUAUGUCCAGGGCUACACACGUGCUACAAUGGGCGGUACAAUGCGCUGCAAACCCGCGAGGGGGAGCUAAUCGCAAAAAACCGUUCUCAGUUCGGAUUGCAGGCUGCAACUCGCCUGCAUGAAGCUGGAAUCGCUAGUAAUGGCAUAUCAGAACGAUGCCGUGAAUACGUUCCCGGGCCUUGCACACACCGCCCGU
This 500-nucleotide ribosomal RNA is filed under the name uncultured bacterium. RNAcentral's name for it is "partial 16S ribosomal RNA". It matches the Rfam family "Bacterial small subunit ribosomal RNA", at positions 899 to 1397 of the family's 1533-position model. The record is from RNAcentral.